GUGGGGAAUCUUGCGCAAUGGGCGAAAGCCUGACGCAGCCAUGCCGCGUGAAUGAUGAAGGUCUUAGGAUUGUAAAAUUCUUUCACCGGGGACGAUAAUGACGGUACCCGGAGAAGAAGCCCCGGCUAACUUCGUGCCAGCAGCCGCGGUAAUACGAAGGGGGCUAGCGUUGCUCGGAAUUACUGGGCGUAAAGGGCGCGUAGGCGGACAGUUUAGUCAGAGGUGAAAGCCCAGGGCUCAACCUUGGAAUUGCCUUUGAUACUGGCGGUCUUGAGUACGGGAGAAGUGAGUGGAACUCCGAGUGUAGAGGUGAAAUUCGUAGAUAUUCGGAAGAACACCAGUGGCGAAGGCGACUCACUGGCCCGUUACUGACGCUGAGGCGCGAAAGCGUGGGGAGCAAACAGGAUUAGAUACCCCAGUAGUCC
This 425-nucleotide ribosomal RNA is filed under the name uncultured bacterium. RNAcentral describes it as "bacterial SSU rRNA". It matches the Rfam family "Bacterial small subunit ribosomal RNA", at positions 354 to 796 of the family's 1533-position model. The record is from RNAcentral.